UAAUAAUAAACGCCACUUCAUCUCCUAUUUCAUUCCUAACCCUAAUUCAUUACUGCUCCCUUUAUUCAUCCCUGCUCCCCUAAUCCAUCAGCAUACCAGUACAAAAAACGAUUAAAAAGACCCUUCAUCUCCCUCAAACAUAUCCUAGAACCAAUGUUAUUCAACUUCGAGCCAGGAAUGACGAAUUCUCGAAGAAGAAGAAUCGCCCCUUCUGAUUUUUUCGAAGCAGGCAUAUAUCAGUUAUGGAAAUUUACAAUGAAAGUAUCAGGGACCUGCUAGUAACUAAUCGAACAAGUUGGGACGCUGCACAUACAGAAAAUGGCGUUUCUGGGAAGCAGUAUGCUAUUAAGCAUGAUGCAAAUGGGGAAACAUACGUCUCUGAUCUUACCAUAGUUGAUGUGUGCAGUUCAAAAGAGGUUGCUCAACCUCUUUUGCAUCAAGCUGGUCAAUGCCGAUGAUAUUGGCUAUCAAGGGUCAAUUGGAACAACCUCUUUGUUAUUAUAAGGAUAAAGUUACUUACAUCCAUCCCUCAAAUCUUCUUGAAACUAAGGCCUCAUGUUCUCCUUCUGCAAUAAUUCCCCUUGUGCAAUUUAAUUUGCGUUGUAACUUUAAUUUACUUGAAUUAGUAAUGAUGUUUUUAUUUAUUAAUUCUUUUACAGAUUUUAAAGUGACAUGCUUAUAACGAUGAAAGAUAAAUACAUGGGAUAUAUGUUAUCUUUUUUGGUGGUUAAAGUUUAACAACUACAACAUAAAAUUUGCUCUUUUUACUAACAAUUCACAAUUGUAUCCCCUCUCGUUACCUUUUGUAUUUUAGAUAACAAAGAUUAUGAAUUUGACUUUGAACAUAUCUAUGUCUAAUUACUUUGACAAGGAUUGUGAAAGAAAUAUAUUCAGGAAUUGCAAUAUUUUAAACUUCUUAUUAAUUAUUAAAACAAAGAUAUAGGUGGCAUCAAUUAGUAACAAAAGUAUCCAUGUCUAACUAUUUCAACGCAAUAAAGCG
Amaranthus tricolor (Joseph's coat) is the source of this 1000-nucleotide long non-coding RNA. RefSeq lists it as uncharacterized. The transcript has 3 exons. NCBI's taxonomy places the organism in Eukaryota, Viridiplantae, Streptophyta, Magnoliopsida, Caryophyllales, Amaranthaceae. The record is from RefSeq and is a predicted model, not a curated record.